Molecule: ribosomal RNA, 513 nt
Filed under: uncultured bacterium
Lineage: Bacteria
Description: partial 16S ribosomal RNA
Rfam family: Bacterial small subunit ribosomal RNA
Source: RNAcentral
GAUGAACGCUGGCGGCGUGCCUAAUACAUGCAAGUCGAACGCACAGCGAAAGGUGCUUGCACCUUUCAAGUGAGUGGCGAACGGGUGAGCAACACGUGGACAACCUGCCUCAAGGCUGGGGAUAACAUUUGGAAACAGAUGCUAAUACCGAAUAAAACUUAGUGUCGCAUGACACAACGUUAAAAGGCGCUUUGGCGUCACCUAGAGAUGGAUCCGCGGUGCAUUAGUUAGUUGGUGGGGUAAAGGCCUACCAAGACAAUGAUGCAUAGCCGAGUUGAGAGACUGAUCGGCCACAUCGGGACUGAGAAACGGCCCAAACUCCUACGGGAGGCUGCAGUAGGGAAUCUUCCACAAUGGGCGAAAGCCUGAUGGAGCAACGCCGCGUGUGUGAUGAAGGCUUUCGGGUCGUAAAGCACUGUUGUAUGGGAAGAACAGCUAGAAUAGGGAAUGAUUUUAGUUUGACGGUACCAUACCAGAAAGGGACGGCUAAAUACGUGCCAGCCGCCGCCGUAA